UAGCUCAGUUGGUUAGAGCACCACCUUGACAUGGUGGGGGUCGUUGGUUCGAGUCCA
RNAcentral lists this transfer RNA (57 nucleotides) under Klebsiella pneumoniae. RNAcentral's name for it is "tRNA-Val". It matches the Rfam family "tRNA", at positions 8 to 61 of the family's 71-position model. Rfam says of the family: Transfer RNA (tRNA) molecules are approximately 80 nucleotides in length. Their secondary structure includes four short double-helical elements and three loops (D, anti-codon, and T loops). The record is from RNAcentral. Lineage: Bacteria; Pseudomonadati; Pseudomonadota; Gammaproteobacteria; Enterobacterales; Enterobacteriaceae.